This is a long non-coding RNA of Archocentrus centrarchus (flier cichlid), 3184 nucleotides long. RefSeq lists it as uncharacterized. The record is from RefSeq and is a predicted model, not a curated record. Lineage: Eukaryota; Metazoa; Chordata; Actinopteri; Cichliformes; Cichlidae. The transcript is spliced from 3 exons.
UUUCAGCAAUGGACGGGGUGCCUUUUAUGAUCUCUGAGAAGUUUGCCUGUGCUUCAUCUGAUCUCCAGCAGGUGGAUCUGAUGGGUAUUACAAUUAAGUCACUGGCUGAGAUUGAAAAGGAGUAUGAUUACAGUUUCCGUACAGAGCAUAGUGCAGCAGCUCGCCUCCCUCCGAGUCCAACACGGACCUCUUUGAGUUCUGAGGCCUAAGCAUCCCUCAUCUCUAUAGACAGCAGCAGGAGAGAACUGCAUACAACUACUGAGAAACCUGCCUACACCGGUGAUAUUCAACCUGUAAAUGAGAAGACAAAAAAAAAGUGUGAUACAUUUUCUAACUUCUGAGAGAUGUUAUAGGCUCUCUGUAUGCUGUUGGAAUGAAAAGGAAAUGAAAAACAAUGGAAUUCAGUCAGGCUCAAACCACUACACUGCAGAGCUGGGUUUUAGGACAAAAAAGACAUUUUAUGCUCAAUGAGAUAUUGAAGUGUCUCAGAUGCAUUCAAAAAAGAAUGGUUAUGUGUUAUAUUGUAGUGAUAAAAAUAACCCUGCCCCAUCAGAAGAACUUGUUAGAAACAAGAUAAACAGAUCAUAGGGGUACUUUAUUUUUCAUGGUAGUUAAGUCUCAAAGCAUAUUUAAUAUUGCUUUUCUUGUUUAUAAUGUGCUCUGUUCUGAAACAAAUCACCACAAAGGCACCUGAUGUGUCACAAAACUAAAAGAAAACUGUGAUUUAGAGUUUUGUUGUUGAGCUUGUGCUGGUCUUCUCGAUGGGGAAAUGUUUCUCAUGGUUUUCUAGAUGUUACUGUAGUGUGCUAAUGUGACUGUGAGUGCAUUUUGUGUUUGGGAAUUUUAAUGUGCUUUCUGUUUGCUACAGUUAUUCAAUUAGCCACUUCUUUCUCUGAGGUGGCUUGCCUGACAUAUAGAACCACAGCCACAGCUUAUGUCCACUGGGCUGAGUAUUCACAACAAGGUUUUUCUACUGUUCAAAAUUCUAAUACCUUACUUUGCAUAACUAUGCAUAGAGAUAUUUUAUUGAAACAUGUUAUUUUCACUGAAAGCAUAACAUAAUCUUUUCACUGAAGGAGUAACAUCCAGCAAACCUCAGACACAUUUUAACCAAAAAGCCCUAAUACCUAGCCCUUUUGUAUCAUAGCCAUAAUCACAGUUUUAAGUUGCCUUCAUCAGUGUUAUGUUGAACAGAUAGAUGCUGCAUCAGUUAUGUGUCGCAAACAGUUUUAUUGAAGUACAUUGGUUAUGUGUGAAAGGAUGUGCAUACAGCACAUAUAUAUCCUAUGUAAUGCUGAUUCAGCCAUUUUUAACAGGUCUGGUUAUUAUAGGAUAUCUGGUUUAUGUAGUUUUUCUUUAAACCACCCACAUUGACAUGUCAUGACAAUAAAGACCAAAUCAGAGCCACUAGUAGAGUCAGGACUGGUUAUUUGCACCUGAUUUUGUUUUCAUUUGUCUACAGCACCAUUCCUUAUUAGUAUGUCAUUGGAUUAGACAAGUACCUCAACCAAAAGUUAAUUCAUGGUUUAUUAAUUUAGCAGUUAGUUUUUUUGUUUUUUUCCAAAUAAGCCAGCUUGAAAUUGUCAGUUUGAAUUUUGGUUGCCCCUGUAGGACAAGGUAACUUGUUUUUUAACUUCUUUUUUGUUGUUGUUGGCAAGAAAUUGUAAAAGGCUUCCUUAGGUAACUCAAUUAAUGAAACUCAGCAUUUUACGCUGUGCUUCAAAUUCCUUGCACCGCACUGACAGUAACUCAACAGCAAAAAUAUAAGGCAAAGUGGAAAGAAUGGAAACAUUUAAGCUGGGUUCAUACUGCAUAAUAGCAGCCUAAUGAUAGAAAAGGUAUAGGAUGGAAAUUUGUCCUCAAAAGACAUUUUGUUUUUAGAGGUUUCCAACAAAAUCAAUAUCUACUUCAGACCAAAAGAUCUUAUUCUUGUCUCCUCAAUUAUGUCUAUGGUCUAGAGAAAAACCUUGCAGGCUCUCAGGUGUCUGUCCCAAGUCAUGGCUGCACUUUCUAACUGACACAGUGGGAAAUGUCCUGUAUUAUAGAUUAAGAAUUGCUGUGUUUAGAGAAGUGCAGGAGCAUAAUGAAUGGGAUAUGAAUCUUGAAGAUAGAAAGGUAUUCAAUGGCCUAGUACAUUAUGCUAAAUAAAUAAAUAAAAUAUGAACUGUUAGAAUGAGGCAGUUUUGGAAACUGCCCUUUAUUUGUGCAAGUGUUGCUGUUUGAUACUUAGUUUUUUGUUUUGUUUUUUUAAGGGAAAAUAAAUGGUCAGUUGUUGUUCACCUGAUUCUGCACCAUCCACUCAGUUAUGAUGUGAACAAAUGGAGUUGGAACUGGUGAGGUGAUGACACCACUUGUAGAUUAAGUGUAUUUUAUCUCCAUGGCUAUAAUCAAAAAGGUUUCAUGUUCCUGUGUAUUGGACAAAAUACACCAAUACAUAUCUGUGAUAGGCCAGUAUCAGUUGGGCUCUUAUUAUUGAUCUUAAGUUCACUCUAACAAGGUGUCUGUGUAUUCUGUAUGGCUUCUCCUUCAUGUUAAUACAUAUGAUGUAGCGUCAAAGAUUUUGAAAAGCUCAAUUAAACCAGUUUUAUUUUUGCUGAUUUCCCUUUUUCACAAAUCUCAUGUGGCAAGAAAAAAAUGUUCUGCAGUAUUGUCAUUAAUAAACAGAGUAACUCCUUUAGCUCUAUGUAAAUUAUUUGUCAGUAUUUCAGUAUAGUGCCUGCUUUCUUAAACACUUUGAUUUGUUUUCCUUUCCUUUUAUCCUAUAAAACUGUCAAUUGCACUGCUUAUUAAUUACUAAUAGGUUUAGACAUUUGGUUCAUGCCCAUGUGAAACUGUAUUUCAGCUGUCUGCAACUGCCUGGUAUGUGAUAAUCUGUAUCAUGUAUGAUUUCUAAAACUCGUGUUUACUUCUAGCCAGGUAGGCUGCGACAUUAAAUAGCAAAUAUAACUGUAUUAACAACCAGUAAUCCUGCUUUGAUGUAUCAGUUGCAUGCAUGGUGACAUGUUAAGAUGCUAGAGGUUUCAGUAUGACAGUUAUUUGUUUAUUUGGUUGUUUAAUUGUUUCGUUUUUCAGGUUAAUGAUCACAAUUGUUUCAGAAUGUUUUUAUUCACUAAGGAUGGGGGAAAAAACAGCAUUAGCUUAUUUUGUAUUUUGAGGAAGUUUUAUUAAACUGUGAUGAACUGAA